This 358-nucleotide long non-coding RNA is filed under the name Malus domestica (apple). RNAcentral's name for it is "long non-coding RNA (MDOM_LNC013203)". Lineage: Eukaryota; Viridiplantae; Streptophyta; Magnoliopsida; Rosales; Rosaceae. The record is from RNAcentral.
UGUUUUCUAUUCUUGUUUUUAAUAAUAUUUUGUUUUAUGAUUGUUAGAAACUAAUUUUCGUUUACUAAGGCGAGGCCAUGAGCCUUAGCAAGAAUAUGUAGUUUCUUUUCAAUUUGCUUAUGAUAUUAUGCAUGUAGGUUUGAAUUAUUAAGCACCGGUUUAAACUAUCUAAUUGUCUUAAUGCUUAGCUACCAUUAGGAUCUUUAGAAAAGUAAUUUGAUGCCAUUUUCGUCGGAACUUGGUCCUUGAAAUUGAUGAAGGCUUCUUGCGGUUAAUAUGUGCAAGUUCACUUAGGUUGAAUACCACAUCUUAAGAGUUGUAUGGUUUUUCAAAAGGUUUCACAAAGCUUAAUAAGUCA